UUGUUUUUAUAGUUUAAAUAAAACAUUGGUCUUGUAAAUCAAAAAUAAAUUUUUAUUUUAAAAACU
RNAcentral lists this transfer RNA (66 nucleotides) under Graphium mullah chungianus. RNAcentral describes it as "tRNA-Thr". It matches the Rfam family "tRNA". Rfam says of the family: Transfer RNA (tRNA) molecules are approximately 80 nucleotides in length. Their secondary structure includes four short double-helical elements and three loops (D, anti-codon, and T loops). Further hydrogen bonds mediate the characteristic L-shaped molecular structure. tRNAs have two regions of fundamental functional importance: the anti-codon, which is responsible for specific mRNA codon recognition, and the 3' end, to which the tRNAs corresponding amino acid is attached (by aminoacyl-tRNA synthetases). tRNAs cope with the degeneracy of the genetic code in two manners: having more than one tRNA (with a specific anti-codon) for a particular amino acid; and 'wobble' base-pairing, i.e. permitting non-standard base-pairing at the 3rd anti-codon position. The record is from RNAcentral. Lineage: Eukaryota; Metazoa; Arthropoda; Insecta; Lepidoptera; Papilionidae.